GAUGAACGCUGGCGGCGUGCCUAAUACAUGCAAGUCGAGCGAACAGACGAGGAGCUUGCUCCUCUGACGUUAGCGGCGGACGGGUGAGUAACACGUGGAUAACCUACCUAUCUGACUGGGAUAACUUCGGGACACCGGAGCUAAUACCGGAUAAUAUAUUGAACCGCAUGGUUCCAUAGUGAAAGACGGUUUUGCUGUCACUUAUAGAUGGCUCCGCGCCGCAUUAGCUAGUUGGUAAGGUAACGGCUUACCAAGGCAACGAUGCGUAGCCGACCUGAGAGGGUGAUCGGCCACACUGGAACUGAGACACGGUCCAGACUCCUACGGGAGGCAGCAGUAGGGAAUCUUCCGAAAUGGGCGAAAGCUUGACGGAGCAACGCCGCGUGAGUGAUGAAGGUCUUCGGAUCGUAAAACUCUGUUAUUAGGGAAGAACAAAUGUGUAAGUAACUAUGCACGUCUUGACGGUACCUAAUCAGAAAGCCACGGCUAACUACGUG
This 497-nucleotide ribosomal RNA is filed under the name uncultured bacterium. RNAcentral describes it as "partial 16S ribosomal RNA". It matches the Rfam family "Bacterial small subunit ribosomal RNA", at positions 28 to 507 of the family's 1533-position model. The record is from RNAcentral.